GACGAACGCUGGCGGCGUGCCUAAUACAUGCAAGUUGAGCGCUGAAGGUUGGUACUUGUACCAACUGGAUGAGCAGCGAACGGGUGAGUAACGCGUGGGGAAUCUGCCUUUGAGCGGGGGACAACAUUUGGAAACGAAUGCUAAUACCGCAUAAAAACUUUAAACACAAGUUUUAAGUUUGAAAGAUGCAAUUGCAUCACUCAAAGAUGAUCCCGCGUUGUAUUAGCUAGUUGGUGAGGUAAAGGCUCACCAAGGCGAUGAUACAUAGCCGACCUGAGAGGGGGAUCGGCCAAAUUGGGACGGAGACACGGCCCAAACCCCUACGGGAGGCAGCAGUAGGGAAUCUUCGGCAAUGGACGAAAGUCUGACCGAGCAACGCCGCGUGAGUGAAGAAGGUUUUCGGAUCGUAAAACUCUGUUGGUAGAGAAGAACGUUGGUGAGAGUGGAAAGCUCAUCAAGUGACGGUAACUACCCAGAAAGGGACGGCUAACUACGUG
RNAcentral lists this ribosomal RNA (497 nucleotides) under uncultured bacterium. RNAcentral describes it as "partial 16S ribosomal RNA". It matches the Rfam family "Bacterial small subunit ribosomal RNA", at positions 28 to 507 of the family's 1533-position model. The record is from RNAcentral.